This 21-nucleotide small RNA is filed under the name Arabidopsis thaliana (thale cress). RNAcentral's name for it is "ATSL043800". Lineage: Eukaryota; Viridiplantae; Streptophyta; Magnoliopsida; Brassicales; Brassicaceae. The record is from RNAcentral.
AAUGCGAAAGGGGACAAGGCA